UUUAUUGGAGAGUUUGAUCCUGGCUCAGGAUGAACGCUGGCGGCGUGCCUAAUACAUGCAAGUCGAGCGAAUGGAU
RNAcentral lists this ribosomal RNA (76 nucleotides) under Bacillus cereus. RNAcentral describes it as "partial 16S ribosomal RNA". It matches the Rfam family "Bacterial small subunit ribosomal RNA", at positions 1 to 75 of the family's 1533-position model. The record is from RNAcentral. Lineage: Bacteria; Bacillati; Bacillota; Bacilli; Caryophanales; Bacillaceae.